This 2092-nucleotide long non-coding RNA is filed under the name Pocillopora damicornis (cauliflower coral). RNAcentral describes it as "uncharacterized LOC113669702, transcript variant X1". Lineage: Eukaryota; Metazoa; Cnidaria; Anthozoa; Scleractinia; Pocilloporidae. The record is from RNAcentral.
CAAGUAGGACACUUUAGGACAGCUUAAAUACAGUGAGCUGCUGGCCUCGUUGACUGUUUUCUGCCUUUUGAGAUGUUGAGUUUGAUAAAAGCACAUGGUAUGUUUUGUAAUUUGUGUUUUCAAGUUUAUUCGGUUUCUCUGUGAUCUAGGCAUAAAAAACUUGUCACCCAACAAAUGGAUCUCCUUGUGAGAUGGUUCACAGACAUAGUGUCAUCCUGGGAGCCGCAAUGGUAUAUUUGUAGAAAUUAAAUAAAUAUGUUAUCUGGAAAAGCUGUCUCAACUUAUCAAUAAGUAACUGUGGAGCUGUUUUGUGGCCUUAUUCAUCUAUGAAGGAAAGCAAAUUACCAAGAAGCAGCUUCAAGUUGACCAGAGGAUCAAUGCAACAUCCAUUGCCUGUUACUGUUAGACACUUCUUCAGAUAAGGACUAAGGCCUGCUGCUAUCAGUUCUUCUUCAAUGGCAAGGUACAGAGGCCCAUGGAGGUCUGACAGCAAACCAGGAAAGAGUACUCGCACUACAUCGUGCCACAUCAUGAUAGUUUCAUUUCAUGCCAGAGGCGAUUUUAAACCCAUCGCAAAUAGAAGAGCUAGUCUCUCUCAGCAUUCAUCAGCACAAAAUGAAUCGAAAGAUCUGUUCUGGAAGGCAGUGAUGAGUUCUUUGGGCAAGUGCUCAGCUGGGUCUCACGUACUUUCACUUGGGAGUAGUUUUGCCAUUGGAUGAAGUACACUGCUCUGCCUCCUUGAACUCAUUUUGCUACAAUAUGUUUGACUUUCAUAAACACCCAUAACAGUAGGUUUUACCUUUGGUCGGUAUUUCAAAUUAAAGCCACUAUGGCAGAAAUCAUUCAAUAAUGUUGCGUAAAGGCCUGGUUGAUGUCUCGCACACUUCAACAUGUUGUUGAAAAUAAGUUUUACCAACUGAUUGGAUUGAACGAAACUGUACUAUUUACAUGUUUUGAUUAAUCAAAAUGGAUUCAAAUGUGAAUAAUUUUGUAACUGUUCCCUUGGUCAUCAACCUGUUCAAGGCAGCCGUUUGUUAGUUAGUUUGCUUGUUUUUUCUUCUGUUUGGUUGGACUGCGUUAAUUGGUGGAGUAAAAGAGCAUGAGUGUGAAGUACAAGUCAAUGAUAUUACUCCCACCAAUAUGGAUAGAUUUCCAUGGCCCAUUGGUGGCGGUAUUGACGGGGUUCCACUGAAGUCUCUGCAAUUGUUGUUUUUCUGUCAUAGUGCAACCCUUCUUCUUGAUGGAUAAACAAGGAAGAAAAGCCCUGUUUAGCCACCAAAAUUUUUCCAUGAAGUAUGACAACGCAAGUGUCAAGUAAAAGCAAGUGACCCAUGCAUCACGCUCGCUAUAAAACUGUGGUUAGGCUAUUUUUUUCACACUCCUUAUUCUCUUUAUUACAGGAGCGCACCACAACCACAUUUAAGACAAAGAUUGAAUGAAACUAAAAUUUCACUUGACCACAGGUUAGCUGGCUUUCUGAGCACUGCCUUUUAUAGCCUUCAAUUACGCAUUUUUUUGUUCUCAGUCUGCAACUGCAAGCCUUUUGCACUCAAAAACCACCUGAUUGUGAGUUACGCUUUUUAAAUGGCCUAUUCUUCACGAUACUAUUACUAUAUUUCUCUAUUUUCUAUUUCCAUGAUACUAAUUUCUAGAAUUCCAAUAACAUUUUGACCAACGGGGGUCUGUCAGUCUAUAGAGUUAAACAGGAAUUCACAGCUAACGAAUUUACUAAACACUAAGUUAACAGUGUGGCUAUUGUCAAUUAUUGCUAUUGUUCACUUUAUCUCACCUUGGGAUUUUCUUUACGCAUCCAACCAUUUGAUUGACAGCAGCUGAAAUCUGAGAUCUGACUCAUGUAUUCCCAAAGCUUAAUCUGCUGACCAAUCACAGCCGACUAGUUCAAGAUAUGCAAGUUAUUAUGCCACUCGCUGAUGGGUAAAUGGGUAAUGAAAGUACAUGUCAUGAAAGACAAUUGCAUUCUGGGUGAUGCCUUAUAAUAUUCAUAUUUCAGUUUAUGAUAAGUACUUGGAUACCUUGACUACAUUAAAUAAAUGUAUUAAGGCCUGUCCAUAAAAUAUAUUCUCGCUUCAUA